This 48-nucleotide non-coding RNA is filed under the name Schistosoma mansoni. Lineage: Eukaryota; Metazoa; Platyhelminthes; Trematoda; Strigeidida; Schistosomatidae. The record is from RNAcentral.
AUCCAGCUGACGAGUACCAAAUAGGACGAAACCCGCGUCAAACUGGAU